RNAcentral lists this ribosomal RNA (253 nucleotides) under uncultured bacterium. RNAcentral describes it as "partial 16S ribosomal RNA". It matches the Rfam family "Bacterial small subunit ribosomal RNA", at positions 524 to 776 of the family's 1533-position model. The record is from RNAcentral.
UACGGAGGGGGCAAGCGUUGUUCGGAAUUACUGGGCGUAAAGGGCUCGUAGGCGGCCAACUAAGUCAUACGUGAAAUCCCUCAGCUUAACUGGGGAACUGCGUGUGAUACUGGAUGGCUUGGAUUUGGGAGAGGGAUGCGGAAUUCCAGGUGUAGCGGUGAAAUGCGUAGAUAUCUGGAGGAACACCGGUGGCGAAGGCGGCAUCCUGGACCAAUAUUGACGCUGAGGAGCGAAAGCUAGGGGAGCAAACGGG